Long non-coding RNA from Cyprinus carpio carpio, 1489 nucleotides. Lineage: Eukaryota; Metazoa; Chordata; Actinopteri; Cypriniformes; Cyprinidae. The record is from Ensembl.
AGACCCUUUUGAUUUGCAUUAAUUUAAGGUUUCUUCAGAAGUCACAUUUUGUGUACAAAACUCCACUUUACUGUUCUUAAAAUAUGGCAUUGAACUAACAUUUAUGGAGGGGAAUUAUAAGAAAACAGGAGGUGUAUAGUUAGCAUUUGUUACUUGACUGAACUUGAGCGAAGGCAGUCAAUGAAUAAAAGAGUAGAAAAACAAUCUCAAGCUUGUAAAGAGGACAUUUCAGGAAGCUCUCGCUCGGCCGACCACUUACAUAUGCUCUAAAUUUGGCAGCUUUAAUUUUCUAUGACGUUUCUCUCAGAAGCUAAGAAAUAAAAAUUUUAUAGCUCGGAACAUACAAAUGCAAAUAUGAUAAACAUGAGUUCCUAAAUAAAGAUCGCAUCCUCCAAAGACACACUACAACUAUAAAUAAGAGUGAGCAAAAAAGAUGAAAGACUAAUCCAGUCAAGAUCAAACGCUAGGCAUGCAAAUGUUCCGUGUCCUUUUCUCGGUUGCUGGGCAAUAACGGUUUGCAUUCGAAUCUUACUUUUUGUUGUUGUUUUUUUUGUAUCCAUUCCUCAAUAAGUGUCGCCACCAGAAGAAUGAAGCCCAGGCCUCUGGAGUUAAAUUAAGUUGCAAACCCGGCAAGCAUUCCUAAGUGUUCCACCAAGCCCCCUUUUGCUAUCAAUCGCUCCUUUAUACUAGCUGUCGCCUCCUUCCACACCGGAUGUUUGCAGUGGUCUGCAGCUGUUGUUUGAGGCCUAGCGGGGCUACAGACCUUUAGCUGGCAGAACAGAGAGAGGGGAACCAUGUUAGGGGCCUGGGAAAGGUCCUGAAAUUUCAUAUUUAAUCACACAAAAUAAGUAAAUACACAAAAACAUACAAGCAAACCUUUAGUUGUCAGUUAAAUGCAUGGCAUGAAGGAUCAGAUUUCCUUUAAUAAUGACCUACAUUUGUCCUGUUCCUGCUGUUAUAUGAGAGAAAAUAUGCAUUUGUUAUUUUUGGGUGAGCUAUUCCUUAAAGAUAAUUUUUUUUUAGCCAUUUAUGGUUAACGGCAACAGCACUUGUCGCAGUGACCUGACAUAUGGAGUUUACAACACUCAUCACACAUCACUGCAAUAAAAACACUGCAGCAUUUUAACAAUGUAUGGCGUAUUGCAAGUAGCCAACAAUUGGCACAGCUGAUCUAACAACCGCUUUGCACUCUUCCCGGGGUGUUUCCUUUCCUUUCCCAGCUGAAUUAGAGUUUAUAGGAGCCUUUCACACAACACGCUCCCACUAAAUUUAGCACAUCAUUAGUUUCACAGUUUUCAUAACACCAGUGCAGAGCCAUUCCUCUACAGACGGUUGUCAUGGCAAUGACAGAUCUCAUCACAGCUCUGAAUCAGAAUUUGUUUUAAAAGAAUUUCUAGCUUAUUUCUAGGCAGGACAAGGGAACUAAAACAACAUCAUGCAGCAACACUCUUGGCCUUAUGAAGUAAAUUGUGCAGGAGAUCUAGUGGAC